CCUACGGGUGGCUGCAGUGGGGGAUAUUGCACAAUGGGGGAAACCCUGAUGCAGCGACGCCGCGUGUGGGAAGACGGUCCUCUGGAUUGUAAACCACUGUCCCCAGGGACGAAGAUGACGGUACCUGGGGAGGAAGCUCCGGCUAACUACGUGCCAGCAGCCGCGGUAAUACGUAGGGAGCGAGCGUUGUCCGGAUUUAUUGGGUUUAAAGGGAGCGUAGGCCGCAUGUCAAGCGUGCUGUGAAAUGUCCGGGCUCAACCCGGGCCUUGCAGCGCGAACUGGCGUGCUUGAGUCCGCGGAAAGCAGGCGGAAUUCGUCGUGUAGCGGUGAAAUGCUUAGAUAUGACGAAGAACCCCGAUUGCGAAGGCAGCUUGCUGCAGCGGAACUGACGCUGAUGCUCGAAAGCGCGGGUAUCGAACAGGAUUAGAUACCCCAGUAGUC
Molecule: ribosomal RNA, 441 nt
Filed under: uncultured bacterium
Lineage: Bacteria
Description: partial 16S ribosomal RNA
Rfam family: Bacterial small subunit ribosomal RNA
Source: RNAcentral